This 292-nucleotide ribosomal RNA is filed under the name uncultured microorganism. RNAcentral describes it as "partial 16S ribosomal RNA". It matches the Rfam family "Bacterial small subunit ribosomal RNA", at positions 505 to 796 of the family's 1533-position model. The record is from RNAcentral.
GUGCCAGCAGCCGCGGUAAUACGUAGGUGGCAAGCGUUGUCCGGAAUUAUUGGGCGUAAAGCGCGCGCAGGCGGUCCUUUAAGUCUGAUGUGAAAGCCCACGGCUCAACCGUGGAGGGUCAUUGGAAACUGGGGGACUUGAGUGCAGAAGAGAAGAGUGGAAUUCCACGUGUAGCGGUGAAAUGCGUAGAGAUGUGGAGGAACACCAGUGGCGAAGGCGACUCUUUGGUCUGUAACUGACGCUGAGGCGCGAAAGCGUGGGGAGCAAACAGUGAAAGAUACCCUGGUAGUCC